CUGUGCCGCAGGAGAAUGAAGCAGAUUCUUGUUGUGACAAAAACUACCCACCCUUCACUGAACGUUCUGCACUGAAUACCUUUCCCGUUGGUCACUGGGCCAACCGGUGGCUUGCCUCCACAUGCCUUUGUAAACAAGGGAGCCGGAAAAUAUAUUAAAAAGAAAAAUCAGAACUCUCCGAUGUCAUUGAGAUUUCCAGCAUCUGCAGCUCCUCGAUUUUCACUGGACGAGUGCAGUAAACUAGGUUGAAAUUCAGGAAAUGGGGAAGAACAAGGCAAUGAAGUGGUUUGAAAACAAGGAUGGAAAUAUGAAAACCAAGGCAUUGUUUAACCAGGAGCCGAUGUGCAUCUCCAAGGAUCAAGGAUGACAUCUUAAUUCCAGCUCUGUGGGUUCUGGAGCCAAUGUGGAAAUCACAGCCUCUUCCGCAGAUGGGGCAAGCAUGGUGAGGGACCCAUCUAUCUCCUGCUCUCAUCUCGCUGCUACCAUGGGUAGGAAGGUAUUGGAGUCUGAAAACCGUAACCACCAAGUUCAUGAAUGCUACAUCUCAACAACCAUCGGAGUUUUGAACACGACACAACACCAACUGAACUGUGAACAAUGGACUGACUGCUUUUAGUUCAACUAUGCACUUUGGGCCUUUUUGCACUAGUAUUGGGAUCAUUAAUUUAUUGAUUCGUUUUUGUUUAUUGUAUUAUCUGUGAGCAUUGUAUUACAGGCCGGUUAUGCUGCUGCAAGUAAUCAUUUCAUAGUUCUGUUGUCGGUACAUAUAACAAUUAUACACACUUGGCUCCUGCUCUCGCCACCUCUCCUCUCAUAAAGGGCAAGGGUCAGGUUGGCCAUCCUCACCUUACAACCCACUCCCCACCCACAAUGUCCACCCGCUUCUAAAUAACGUCACGGCCAGGCACACCGUCUCUCUCCCCCUACCACACAACUCCAACUUGUGUCGUUUCUGCAGUCUCCUCAUUCCACAACCUGCAACAGUACAGCACAGGAACAGGCCCUUCGGCCCACAAUGUCCGUGCUGAACACGAUAUCAAGUUAAGCGAAUCUCCUCUGCCUGCAUAUGAUGCAUAUCCCACCAUUGUCUGCAUAUCCAUCAAAGGUCAUCAACCCUGAAGCACUAACUGUUUCUCGCUCCACAGACUCUGCCCUGUGUGCUGCACAUUUGCCAUUUGUAUUUCACCCUAACCAGAAGAGGUAGAAGCUUAUGCUGACCGAUUCAGAGGAGACGAGCAGACGGCUCAAGUGGAGCAUAAAGGUCAGCAAAGACUUGCUGGUUGUGCUCGUGCCAUUUCCCUACUUAAUGUGGCAAUCUCGUCUCAGAAACUGUCGAGUGCAAGUGCUUACUCCGCUGCUUUUAUCUGUCUUGCCCUACGAUUUAGGAGAAUUAACGGCACACUGCAGGCAGCCUCAUUGAACGCAUUUCUGCUGUCAGAUGCAGAUCAGCGUUUAAACAUGGCGCUACAAAUGAAGCAUCCGUUUAAUGAAGACUUUGAGGAAACAACACAAUUGCUGCUGCAAGUGAUGCGGCAGUGGUGCAUGCCCGAGGCGAGCAGAACCAGCUGCAUUCACCACCGAGGGCAAGGUUCCAUCAAACAAUUUCCUGACUCACAGACAUAUACAAGGGCAAGCUCGUCUCAGCUUGGUGCCCAGCCUGAAGGAGCCAAGGGCAUUAUCCGGGAUCAGCUCCCUGGGAAUUGUCAGUCGGUUCAGAGGACUCAGUCUCAGGCUUCGGGACUCGAUACCAAAUGAGAUCAGUCUCAUGCUCAGCAAUGCUGUCAGUCACACUGAAUUGAAAGGAACCAGUGUGGGUGCCUCAGCAACCCAGGCAUACAGCAGUCCAAUGCCCUGCAUUGCUGGCAGGCCGACUCUGUUGACAUUUCUUGCCUCUUAGAUGAAAAUAAAUUAUUUCCUUUCUUAAACCAUAGUGCUAACAGCAUGUUGAAUGAACGACAGGAAACCCACAUAUGGACAAAGUAUGAGAUGGAGAAUGCUGGACUGAAGCGAGGAAGCAGAGACCAGUGUAGGUGAGGAAAGAAACUGGGUGUAACCAAGGAAGACGCUAACUAGGACAGAGACAAGAGUCUCCACAGCUAUACACGAGAGUGCCAGCUGAAUGGUGGCAUCAAGGUCUGGUUUGUUAACUCGAACACAGAAAUAAAGGAUCUUAUAGAGAGUGGUGGACCCUGCCCACUCUGUCACAGGUACUGACCUCACCAUCAUCGAAAAUAUC
Long non-coding RNA from Amblyraja radiata (thorny skate), 2236 nucleotides. RefSeq lists it as uncharacterized. The transcript has 3 exons. The record is from RefSeq and is a predicted model, not a curated record. Lineage: Eukaryota; Metazoa; Chordata; Chondrichthyes; Rajiformes; Rajidae.